GAUGAAGAACGUAGCGAAAUGCGAUAAGUAGUGUGAAUUGCAGAAUUCAGUGAAUCAUCGAAUCUUUGAACGCACAUUGCGCCCUUUGGUAUUCCAAAGGGCAUGCCUGUUCGAGCGUCAUUUGUACCCUCAAGCUUUGCUUGGUGUUGGGCGUCUUGUCUCUAGCUUCGCUGGAGACUCGCCUUAAAGUAAUUGGCAGCCGGCCUACUGGUUUCGGAGCGCAGCACAAGUCGCACUCUCUAUCAGCAAAGGUCUAGCAUCCAUUAAGCCUUUUUUUCAACUUUUGACCUCGGAUCAGGUAGGGAUACCCGCUGAACUUAAGCAUAUCAAUAAGCGGAGGA
This 341-nucleotide unclassified non-coding RNA is filed under the name soil metagenome. RNAcentral's name for it is "partial contains 5.8S ribosomal RNA, internal transcribed spacer 2, and large subunit ribosomal RNA". The stretch from base 1 to 120 matches the Rfam family "5.8S ribosomal RNA", at positions 35 to 154 of the family's 154-position model. The record is from RNAcentral.